ACAAAGUCAUCCUGUCGGUUGAUUUCUUAUCAACCACUUCAGGGAACGCGCAACGAAUUGCGCCUGAAUCAAAUUGCACCACAGUAUUUUUUCACCGCUGCUGAGAAAUGGCUGUUGUGAAGUAGUGCGAAUUACAGAAGAUCAAAAUGGUGGAUCACAUCAUUAACAGUAUCAAUUUGCCACCGCUUGCCAAAACUCGGAGGGAAAAAAAAUAUGAAGAAACCUGGUUGAAUUAUACUGAGGUUGUUUUGAGCAUCACUUUGUCCCGAAAAAGAUACAAUUUACUACCAAAACGCUCACAGUGUUUUAAGAUCUGCCAAAACGGUGAGUCAAGAAAUUGACGAAAGCUGUUAUGAUUUCGUAGUUCUGACGGAGACGUGGCUGAAACAAGGAGUUUCAUUCGAUUGCCAGGAAUAUCAAGUAUUUCGACACGAUCGUGACACUCGCAGAGGAGGUGGAGUAUUGAUAGCCGUGCGAAAAUCGUUGAAGGCCUCCUUGCGUCCGGUGCAGUACCAACAUCUGGAGCAGGUCGUUGUGGAGGUGGCGCUUCCAGAAGAAACACUGUACAUUCUCGGGGUUUAUUUGGCUCCGUCAUCGGGUCUCAAAAUGUAUAAAUACCAUGUCAAAACAAUAGAACAACUAUUUGAAGUUGAAGGCCUAAAAACAGUCAUACUUUUGGGAGACUACAAUUGUCCAGACCUAAAGUGGACGCCUGAGCAACAUAUUCCGCACUAUAAAAUGUCGGGAGAGAAAAAAGAAAAAAGCAAUUCUGUUCGCAAACUUCUAGAGUAUGGGCUCUUUCAGAAAAAUGUUAUAAAGAAUAAAAACAUGAGAAUAUUA
Aedes albopictus (Asian tiger mosquito) is the source of this 840-nucleotide long non-coding RNA. RefSeq lists it as uncharacterized. The transcript is spliced from 3 exons. Lineage: Eukaryota; Metazoa; Arthropoda; Insecta; Diptera; Culicidae. The record is from RefSeq and is a predicted model, not a curated record.